This 77-nucleotide transfer RNA is filed under the name Desulfocarbo indianensis. Its description in RNAcentral is "tRNA-Thr". It matches the Rfam family "tRNA". From Rfam's summary of the family: Transfer RNA (tRNA) molecules are approximately 80 nucleotides in length. Their secondary structure includes four short double-helical elements and three loops (D, anti-codon, and T loops). Lineage: Bacteria; Pseudomonadati; Thermodesulfobacteriota; Desulfarculia; Desulfarculales; Desulfarculaceae. RNAcentral also lists the same sequence under 1 other name. The record is from RNAcentral.
GCUGGCGUAGCUCAAUUGGCUAGAGCGGCUGAUUUGUAAUCAGCAGGUUGCGGGUUCGAUUCCCAUCGCCAGCUCCA